UAAUUCCUAGAGGAAAGUCCAUGCUCACACAAUUCUGAGAUGAUUGUAGUGUUCGUGCUUAAGGAAAAAAUAACUUAAGGUAGUGGUAAAACACUAACGGCUUAGUUUUUACCUAAGGAGUUUCUAUGGUAAAUACUUGUAAAGUGCCACAGUGACGAAUGACUGGGAAACUGGUCAGUGAAACGCGGUAAACCCCACGAGUGAGAAACCCAAAUUAUGGUAGGGGAGCUUUAAAAGGAGAAAUGAAUUCUUUUAAGGACUAGUAAUAGUAGAUAGAUACUUGUCACCUAGAAAUAGGUACAGAACAUGGCUUAU
This 315-nucleotide RNase P RNA is filed under the name chicken gut metagenome. RNAcentral describes it as "Bacterial RNase P class B". It matches the Rfam family "Bacterial RNase P class B". From Rfam's summary of the family: Ribonuclease P (RNase P) is a ubiquitous endoribonuclease, found in archaea, bacteria and eukarya as well as chloroplasts and mitochondria. The record is from RNAcentral.